GGUGGGGACUGUUCACGUGACGCUCUUAACGUGAUGCUGUUGACGUGGUCGGGACUCUGUUCACGUGACUGUUGUUAACAUGACGCUUAUAACUGCGCUGUGGCGGACAUGACAGCUCACAGCUCAUCAGAAGCACCGUGAGCUGUCCAGUGAGGGGAUGGUUUCAUGAUCAAAUCUUCAUUUACCGUCCACAUUAUCAGAUGAGGACGUCACCAAAGGGAGUGUCCUUUGAGUCGAUGUUUACAUUUAUGUACAGAUAAUUAAGAACAUUUAGUUUAUUGUAAAAUGCUAAUUAUUUUCUCCUGCCACCUUUCAGACAUUGUCAUCCAAUUUGGAUGGAACAGCUUCGUGACCUUAAUGACACCCAGCAACACGAGACGCACACACGCACCACAGGGGAGGAUCUGCAGCAAAGGGCCCACCGGAAAUCAAACCUUGGCCGCUAUGAUGACGACAACAUGGGGCACUUGAAUGUGACUCUAGCCUUUUCAUUUUGAUUUACAACCUUGGCAUUGAAAAGAGCAAAAGUUGAUGCUUGAGAUGAUUUUGGUUUUACUGAAGAGGCUGUACGUCUUCCCCUUGUCCUUUAUCUCCUGACUCUUUCUUUUUAGGUGUGACUACGACUACCAGCAUGAACCUCAACACCUUCUUUGCUGUUCCACUAGUGUGACCCAUGAUCGGAUACAAGUUGUCAAGGAUAAACGGUGAGAGAAUCAUGUCAGCCUACAGACAACCGAUUGACCUGUGAGUCUUCAAGCAGUAAUGAUGACUACGCCUGCCUUAAGUUCCAGUUUCCUGAACAUCAUGGCAUGUCUGCAGGAGAUUCGGUCCCCACCUGUCUUCAGUCUGGACCUAAUGACUCAGACACCAGUCUUGUCGAGGCUAAAUCGAGAGAGGAUCACCUGAUGUCAACAUACGAGUUUUCAAGAAGAACUUCCUGAACUUUGUGUCUGUGUGAGACUCUACCAUGCUGGGUGCCCUCUUCAGUCAAGUCUGGACACAGAGACUCAUUGCUCUUAAUCAACUCUGGGCAAGUGGCUAAUCUUUUGCUUAUUCAUGGAAUAUCCUUCAUGUCCACAUCCUGUUUCUUCAAGAUCUCAACAAUGCUUUGUGAGUAUACGACACAUGUGAGUGGAUCAGUUCAACCUGUUUUUCACAGAAUGUUAGUUUCUUAAGGUUUUCAUCAACGAUGGUUUGUAUCUUGUUUUCCAAUAGGUGUUAUUAAGAUAUUUCCAUUUGUAAUUUACAAUAAUCAAAUGUUGACUGUAAAAUCUAUGCCAACCUAUUGUUAUACACUGUACCAUGUUUUUGCAAAGGAAUUCUGGUGACUUUAGUUGCCAGCAACUUCCUUUGAACUUUGUAAUAAAAUACCGUAACUGUAAUAAAGUUUACAGUAUAACUGUUGUUUUUACAAAACUUACUGUCAUGUCUUGUAUGCUCACCGUUAAUUGGAACUUUUCAAUAAAGUACCAUAAUAUAUUAUACAA
This is a long non-coding RNA of Pseudoliparis swirei, 1487 nucleotides long. RefSeq lists it as uncharacterized. Lineage: Eukaryota; Metazoa; Chordata; Actinopteri; Perciformes; Liparidae. The record is from RefSeq and is a predicted model, not a curated record. The transcript has 4 exons.